CCUACGGGUGGCAGCAGUGAGGAAUAUUGCACAAUGGGGGCCACCCUGAUGCAGCGACGCCGCGUGAAUGAAGAAGUAUCUCGGUACGUAAAGCUCUAUCCGCAGGGAAGUAAAUGACGGUACCUGACUAAGAAGCCACGGCUAACUACGUGACAGCAGCCGCGGUAAUACGUAGGGGGCCAGCGUUAUACGGAUUUACUGGGUGUAAAGGGAGCGUAGACGGCGGGGCAAGUCUGGAGGGAAAGCCCAUGGCUUAACCAUGGAACUGCUUUGGAAACUGUGCAGCUAGAGUGCAGGUGAGGUAGGCGGAAUUCCUGGUGUAGCGGUGAAAUGCGUAGAUAUUAGGAGGAACACCAGUGGCGAAGGCGGCUUACUGGACUGUAACUGACGUUGAGGCUCGAAAGCGUGGGGAGCAAACAGGAUUAGAUACCCGUGUAGUC
This 440-nucleotide ribosomal RNA is filed under the name uncultured bacterium. RNAcentral's name for it is "partial 16S ribosomal RNA". It matches the Rfam family "Bacterial small subunit ribosomal RNA", at positions 338 to 795 of the family's 1533-position model. The record is from RNAcentral.